Nannospalax galili (Upper Galilee mountains blind mole rat) is the source of this 2660-nucleotide RNA transcript. It is a transcript of the gene named RAP1 GTPase activating protein, with no coding region annotated. The record is from RefSeq and is a predicted model, not a curated record. Lineage: Eukaryota; Metazoa; Chordata; Mammalia; Rodentia; Spalacidae. The transcript is spliced from 27 exons.
UCCCCGAACUGCGGCGGCGGUGGCGGCGAGCGCGUCCCGGCAGAGCUGCUGCUGCCGCCGCGGGCACCGGAGUGCCGAGCCCAGGACGCCCCGACCCAGGCCCGCGGUUGGACAAAUCCUUCUCCCCUCGUCAGAGUGUGUGGAGGAGUGAUGGGCAGAAACAGCGAUUCCCUCAGGCACUAGACCUGUCACCAGUGGACUCAGUUCCUUCCCACACUGCUUCACCCUACCCUAAGAACACAGAUCUGUUUGAGAUGAUUGAAAAGAUGCAGCGAAGCAGGAUGGAUGAACAACGAUGUACCUUCCCACCACCCCUCAAAACAGAGGAAGACUACAUUCCCUACCCGAGUGUCCAUGAGGUCCUGGGGCGAGAAGGGCCCUUCCCCCUUAUCCUGCUGCCCCAGUUUGGAGGCUACUGGAUUGAAGGCACCAACCAUGAACUCACCAGCAUCCCCGAGACAGAGCCUCUUCAGUCACCCACCACCAAGGUGAAACUGGAGUGCAACCCCACAGCUCGCAUCUACCGGAAGCACUUUCUGGGCAAGGAACACUUCAAUUACUACUCAGUGGACACUGCCCUUGGCCACCUGGUCUUCUCGCUCAAGUAUGAUGUUAUCGGGGAUCAAGAGCACUUGCGGCUGCUGCUCAGGACCAAGUGCCGAACAUACCAUGAUGUCAUCCCCAUCUCCUGCCUCACCGAGUUCCCCAAUGUGGUCCAAAUGGCAAAGCUGGUAUGUGAAGAUGUCAACGUGGAUCGAUUCUACCCUGUGCUCUACCCCAAGGCUUCCCGACUCAUUGUCACCUUUGAUGAGCAUGUUAUCAGCAAUAACUUCAAAUUUGGAGUCAUUUAUCAGAAGCUUGGGCAGACCUCUGAGGAAGAACUCUUUGGCACCAAUGAGGAAAGUCCUGCAUUCGUGGAGUUCCUCGAGUUUCUGGGCCAGAAAGUCAAACUGCAGGACUUCAAGGGGUUCCGAGGAGGCCUGGAUGUGACCCAUGGGCAGACGGGGACCGAGUCUGUGUACUGCAACUUCCGCAACAAGGAGAUCAUGUUUCACGUGUCCACCAAGCUGCCCUACACAGAAGGGGACGCCCAGCAGUUGCAGCGGAAGCGGCAUAUUGGGAACGACAUUGUGGCUGUGGUCUUCCAGGAUGAGAACACACCCUUCGUGCCUGACAUGAUCGCAUCCAACUUCCUGCACGCCUACGUGGUGGUGCAGGCUGAGGGGGGUGGCCCCGAUGGCCCCCUCUACAAGGUCUCAGUCACUGCAAGAGAUGAUGUGCCCUUCUUUGGGCCCCCGCUCCCGGACCCUGCUGUGUUCAGGAAGGGGCCUGAGUUUCAGGAAUUUCUGCUGACGAAGCUGAUCAAUGCCGAGUAUGCUUGCUACAAAGCUGAGAAGUUUGCCAAGCUGGAGGAGCGGACCAGAGCUGCCCUUCUGGAAACACUCUAUGAAGAACUCCACAUCCACAGCCAGUCCAUGAUGGGCCUGGGUGGUGAUGAAGACAAGAUGGAGAACGGCGGUGGUGGUGGCGGCUUCUUUGAGUCUUUCAAGCGGGUCAUCCGGAGCCGUAGCCAGUCCAUGGACGCCAUGGGACUAAGCAACAAGAAGCCCAACACUGUGUCUACCAGCCACAGUGGGAGUUUCACCCCCAACAACCCCGAUCUGGCCAAGGCAGCUGGAAUAUCAUUGCUUAUUCCCGGGAAAAGCGCGAGUAGAUUCGGACGCCGGGGCAGCGCCUUAGGCAUAGGAGCUGUGGAAGAGUCCCUGAUUGUCCCUGGGAAGAGCCCCACAAGGAAGAAGUCAGGCCCAUUUGGCUCUCGCCGCAGUAGCGCCAUUGGCAUUGAGAACAUCCAGGAGGUGCAGGAGAAGAGCUGCCCUGGCACCUUGCAGAUCAAGACACAGCUCGGUGCUGAGUCCCCAUGCUGCCUCCAUGUGCUCCACAGGGAGAGCCCUCCGGCUGGCCAGAAGACCCCAGACAGUGGACACGUCUCACAGGAGCCCAAAUCAGAGAACUCUUCUACCCAGAGCUCCCCAGAGAUGCCUACAACCAAGAACAGAGCCGAGACAGCCGCCCAGAGAGCAGAAGUGCUGCAGGGCUUUUCCCGCUCCUCAUCCAGCGCCAGCAGCUUUGCCAGUGUGGUGGAGGAGACAGAGGGUGUAGACGGGGAUGACACAGGCCUGGAGAGCGUGUCGUCCUCAGGAACGCCCCAUAAGCGGGACUCCUUCCUCUACAGCACGUGGCUGGAUGACAGCGUGAGCACCACGAGUGGGGGCAGCUCCCCAGUGAGGUGGCUCCCUCCUGCCCCCCUUCCCAGGCCCCACACGGUCACCCCACCCAGACACCGGCAAGUCGGGGGACCCUGCAUGUCCCGAGAUCAAGAUCCAACUGGAAGCAUCUGAGCAGCACACACCCCAGCUGGGCUGCUAGCUGCCACCCUACCUGGAAGGUGAGACUGAGCAGAUGAGGCCGCAGAAGCACAAGGAGAUGCUGCACUUCACCCAGGCGGCUGGUGCUCUGCCCCAUAGCCACCCCAGCCCCUGGUUCCCCUGCUUCCAAUCCCCCUGGCCCACCCAUUUGGGCUGUCUCCGCAGGGCGGAGCCAUCCAGAGCUGGGAGCAGAUGUCUGCUGCUACUGCCCCCCAGGCUUGGGGGUCUGGGUCU